ACAGUUUUGUCAUGUUGCCUGUCAGGGGCUCGACAGGUCUGUGACAGCGGGCAGAUGGGCCCGUGAUCGAUGUGCUCCCCCUGCGCAAGGACAGCCGGAUGAAGGUGCAAACAGCCUGGCUAAUAGAUGAGAGAUGCAGAGCGAGGCUGAUAAGGCCCCAGUGCCCGAACUGUGAUGAAUGGGGAAGGAUGCAGUGGGCUAUUUAUUUCCAAGAAAUGAGUGACUUCUGGGGAAAGGCGAGUGGGGAAGAGAGUGGAAAAGAAGAGGCAAAAGGAGGCUGUUGUGGGAAAUGGAAAGUAUGGUGGUAG
Molecule: long non-coding RNA, 308 nt
Filed under: Phascolarctos cinereus (koala)
Lineage: Eukaryota; Metazoa; Chordata; Mammalia; Diprotodontia; Phascolarctidae
Description: lncRNA (ENSPCIG00000031564.1)
Source: RNAcentral